GACAGAGGGUGCAAACGUUGCUCGGAAUCACUGGGCGUAAAGGGCGUGUAGGCGGGAGAGAAAGUCGGGCGUGAAAUCCCUAGGCUCAACCUAGGAACUGCACUCGAAACUUCUUUUCUUGAGUGCCGGAGAGGAAAGCGGAAUACCUGGUGUAGAGGUGAAAUUCGUAGAUAUUCGGAAGAACACCAGUGGCGAAGGCGACUUACUGGACACAUAUUGACGCUGAGGUGCGAAAGCGUGGGGAGCAAACAGG
This 253-nucleotide ribosomal RNA is filed under the name uncultured bacterium. RNAcentral's name for it is "partial 16S ribosomal RNA". It matches the Rfam family "Bacterial small subunit ribosomal RNA", at positions 524 to 776 of the family's 1533-position model. The record is from RNAcentral.